Gallus gallus (chicken) is the source of this 1377-nucleotide long non-coding RNA. The record is from Ensembl. Lineage: Eukaryota; Metazoa; Chordata; Aves; Galliformes; Phasianidae.
CAGAUCCAGCUCCAGCUGUUGCAGAAGGGACUCACUGCUGGCCAGAACUGAGGUAUGGGGAAGUGCUGGAGCACAGUUAUCCUGAAGAGUGGGCUCAGUGGGAUGAAGCCAUGUUGGAGUAGUGCUUGGAGAGCUGAAGACUGUGGGAAACCCAUGCAGGAUCAGUUCAGGAAGGAUGCCAUGCCAUAGGAGGGACCUCAUUGUGGAGCAGGGGCAGAGAGUGAUCAUAAAGGUGUGGCAGAAACAAAAUGAUAUGGACUGACCACAGUCCUCAUUACCUGUUCCCUUGUGCUGAGUGGGGAAGGUACAAGACAGCAGAUGUGCUCCCUAAUUCCCAAAGUGAAAAUGUUUAACAGCUUAAUCAGAAUUGUCACAUUACACAGAGCCUUGUAUGCAUAUAUGACACCUAUUGACUUUCACUGAUACUUGCUGAAUGGUUGUGGAGAGCAAACUAUAGAUACGAGUAUAGUGAGGCAGUGUGGGUGAUGCAUUUCAACACUGGCAACAGUGAUGUGAAAGACAAGCUACAUUCUGGAUGACCAUGCAUAGCUGUAACACCACGAAAUGAAGAGCAUCUCAGUCAGCUCACCUGCAUGAGUCAGCACAUUAUAACCAGUGAAUUGUGUAUGGAGUUGAAUGUUGGCUUCAGUGUGUUCGAAACAAUGGUGGCAACAUUGGAAUAUUGCAAAGUUUGCACCAGGUGGGUCCUACAAAUGCACACACAGCACACAGGAACAGAAAGAACAUUGUAUGCAAGUUUGUCAAGAUCUAUUGAACUGAUAUGAAGCUGAAGUUGACACUUUCCUGGGUUGCAUCAUGACCGGUGAUGAGACACGGUGUGACCGCUACAAGCUGGAGUCAAAAUGGCAGUUCGUGGAGUGGCUACAUGUGAAUUGAAGAAAAAGCUCAAGAUACAGCUCACAACAGGUAAGGUGAUGUGCACUCUUUUGGGAUAGGAAAGGGGCGAUCCUUCUGGAUUUCCUGGAACCCAGAAAAACCAUCAUCUCUGACUGCUACAUAGUGACUCUGACUAAAGCUGAAAGCUCAAACUCCCGGAGUGAGGUCACAGAAAAAGACAGCCUUUCUCUUGAAACAUGAUAAUACCAGGCCCCAUACCAGUUUGAAGAUGAUGGAGCAUAUUACCAAUCUUGGAUGAACUGUCCUACUAUGCUCAUCAUAUAGUCUGGAUUUAGUGCCUUCUGACUUCCAUCUGUUUGAGCGGAUGAUAUAUUGUCUGCACGGACUACAUUUUCCUAGCAAUGAUGAUGCCAUACCAGCUGUAAAACAGUAGGUUACUUCCACUGGUGCAGAUUUUUACAAGUGUGUUAUGCAUGCUCUUGAUCAUUACUGGAAAAAAUUUAUAGCUAAUGCCAUAGC